AUGACUGCAUGCAUUUUAACUGUGCCAAUCAUGUCUGUCCACAGAUCUGCUUUACAAGAAACAAAGAAAAAACGUUGGGAAAUAGAACUGGAACCAUUCAAAGAAAGGUUGGUAGUGAGAGUGAGUCAGAGGCAGGGCCAUCAUGGACCAGUGGAGGAAGUUCUUUUGCUGAGGUCUCCUGACCUGGCAUCUCGUCAGGAUCAGAGUAUGAUGGAAAUGGAUCUCAGGAAGAAACUACAUGAGACAACACAGGAACUGGAAGAGACAAGAUCUGCUUUACAAGAAAAAAAGAAAAAACUGGAAUCAUUCAAAGAAAGAGUGGCAUGGGAUGUUGCUCCUUCCAUAAAGACAGGAAAAGCAGAGAGCAUGAACAGUCCAGUUAAUAAAUCUAGACUCAAAGAGAUGUAUGAAGAUCUACGACAGAACUGGAUUGAGAUCAAAGAUCACCUGAAAUCAAAUAAUCAAAACCCAAAGACUGUUGAAGCCGCAGUUCAGAGAAUGUUUGAAGAGGAAAGAGAAAAGAUGGAGCAAUGCAAAAAGCAAAUCUACACAAUGAGUGGACUGUGUGAGGACAGCAGUGGAUCAACAUCUACCAAGGCUCAAGAGUGCAGCCAGAUAGCAAUACAGAAUAUUCAACUGGCUCUCUACUAUGGAAAUAAACAUCUUCUGGAGACUGAGGACGUGCAGUGUUGGGAAUCGAAACUCUCCUUGUUGGGCCGUUUGAUGGCAUUAAACAAUCCUUCUCUUCAACCUGAAUGGGAGAAUCACAGUCCUGGGAUGGAUGCCUGGAAUAUCCUUCCAACAAACCUCAUGCCAGUUUAUGCCAAGCCGGAAAAGUGCAUGCAGCCCCAAAAUACACGCUGUUCACAGCUAUGAACUUUUCCCUUCCUUUGUGGAUCACAAACUGCUGUGUAGCCAAACACUGCACGGCUGUGUUUCAUUUGCUGUGUUAUUAUAGUUUUGCUAAAGGGCUUGAAUAAAUGUAUCUUUUUUUGAUAUGGAGGCCUUUCAAUAAUGAGUCCAAUGCUUUUACCAGACUUUUUUUUUUGAACAAAGCUGCAUCCUAUCGUGACUGGAGAUUUUUGUAAACUUUGAUUUUAAAAUCAUUAAUUAAACUGAAUUCAAAAUGAGGUGACUGGUGAUAUGAAGCUUUAUUACUCUCAGCUAGUAAUGAGAACUACUGCUAUUAUUAAUACUGUUAUUAGUAUUAUUAGUAUUAAUACAUAAUCACUAUUGAAUUUUCCACAUUUUUUUUUUACUCCACUUUAGCUCAUUUUUGCUAAAUGUGUCUUAUGGCGUAACAGCAC
Molecule: long non-coding RNA, 1307 nt
Organism: Parambassis ranga (Indian glassy fish)
Lineage: Eukaryota; Metazoa; Chordata; Actinopteri; Ambassidae
Source: Ensembl